GCUCCUGUAGCCCAAUUGGAACGAGGCGACGAUCUUAGAAAUCGGAGGUUGCUGGUUCAAGUCCAGCCAGGAGUA
Molecule: transfer RNA, 75 nt
Filed under: Candidatus Altimarinota bacterium
Lineage: Bacteria; Candidatus Altimarinota
Also listed under: 3 other names
Description: tRNA-Leu
Rfam family: tRNA
About the family: Transfer RNA (tRNA) molecules are approximately 80 nucleotides in length.
Source: RNAcentral